Molecule: ribosomal RNA, 586 nt
Filed under: uncultured bacterium
Lineage: Bacteria
Description: partial 16S ribosomal RNA
Rfam family: Bacterial small subunit ribosomal RNA
Source: RNAcentral
UGGGGAAUUUUGGACAAUGAGCGAAAGCCUGAUCCAGCAAUGCCGCGUGUGUGAAGAAGGCCUUCGGGUUGUAAAGCACUUUUGUCCGGAAAGAAAUCCUUGGCUCUAAUACAGUCGGGGGAUGACGGUACCGGAAGAAUAAGCACCGGCUAACUACGUGCCAGCAGCCGCGGUAAUACGUAGGGUGCAAGCGUUAAUCGGAAUUACUGGGCGUAAAGCGUGCGCAGGCGGUUUGCUAAGACCGAUGUGAAAUCCCCGGGCUCAACCUGGGAACUGCAUUGGUGACUGGCAGGCUAGAGUAUGGCAGAGGGGGGUAGAAUUCCACGUGUAGCAGUGAAAUGCGUAGAGAUGUGGAGGAAUACCGAUGGCGAAGGCAGCCCCCUGGGCCAAUACUGACGCUCAUGCACGAAAGCGUGGGGAGCAAACAGGAUUAGAUACCCUGGUAGUCCACGCCCUAAAACGAUGUCAACUAGUUGUUGGGGAUUCAUUUCCUUAGUAACGUAGCUAACGCGUGAAGUUGACCGCCUGGGGAGUACGGUCGCAAGAUUAAAACUCAAAGGAAUUGACGGGGUCAUAGCUGUUUCCU